CGGACUGUGCCAAAAAGAUAGUUUUUCCUAGGACGGUGAGGUCCUGCGUCAAAACUCCUAUUUUGGCUGUGUCCG
This 75-nucleotide non-coding RNA is filed under the name Streptococcus suis 89/1591. The record is from RNAcentral. Lineage: Bacteria; Bacillati; Bacillota; Bacilli; Lactobacillales; Streptococcaceae.